UGAACGCUGGCGGCGUGCCUAACACAUGCAAGUCGAACGGAGUUUACUCGCUGAUGAAGCUUCGGCAGAAUCUUGAGUAAACUUAGUGGCGGACGGGUGAGUAACGCGUGGGCAACCUGCCUCAUACUGGGGGAUAGCAGUUGGAWACGACUGAUAAUACCGCAUAAGCGCACAGCAUCGCAUGAUGCAGUGUGAAAAACUCCGGUGGUAUGAGAUGGGCCCGCGUCAGAUUAGCUAGUUGGUAAGGWCNCGGCUUACCAAGGCGACGAUCUGUAGCCGGAMUGAGAGGUCGGACGGCCACAUUGGGACUGAGACACGGCCCAAACUCCUACGGGAGGCAGCAGUGGGGGAUMUUGCACAAUGGAGGAAACUCUGAUGCAGCGACGCCSGUGAGUGAAGAAGUAUUUCGGUAUGUUAAGCUCUAUCAGCUAGGGAAGAAAGGCUCGAAAGAGAGAUGACGGUACC
RNAcentral lists this ribosomal RNA (465 nucleotides) under mixed culture ruminal bacterium PAD196. RNAcentral's name for it is "bacterial SSU rRNA". It matches the Rfam family "Bacterial small subunit ribosomal RNA", at positions 30 to 479 of the family's 1533-position model. The record is from RNAcentral. Lineage: Bacteria; Bacillati; Bacillota; Clostridia; Eubacteriales.